This 492-nucleotide ribosomal RNA is filed under the name uncultured bacterium. Its description in RNAcentral is "partial 16S ribosomal RNA". It matches the Rfam family "Bacterial small subunit ribosomal RNA", at positions 29 to 507 of the family's 1533-position model. The record is from RNAcentral.
AGUGAACGCUGGCGGUAGGCCUAACACAUGCAAGUCGAACGGCAGCACAGUAAGAGCUUGCUCUUACGGGUGGCGAGUGGCGGACGGGUGAGGAAUACAUCGGAAUCUACUUUUUCGUGGGGGAUAACGUAGGGAAACUUACGCUAAUACCGCAUACGACCUACGGGUGAAAUCAGGGGAUCUUCGGACCUUGCCCGAUUGAAUGAGCCGAUGUCGGAUUAGCUAGUUGGCUGGGUAAAGGCCCACCAAGGCGACGAUCCGUAGCUGGUCUGAGAGGAUGAUCAGCCACACUGGAACUGAGACACGGUCCAGACUCCUACGGGAGGCAGCAGUGGGGAAUAUUGGACAAUGGGCGCAAGCCUGAUCCAGCCAUACCGCGUGGGUGAAGAAGGCCUUCGGGUUGUAAAGCCCUGUUGUUGGGAAAGAAAAGCAGCAGGUUAAUACCCCGCUGUUCUGACGGUACCCAAAGAAUAAGCACCGGCUAACUUCGUG